UAACGCAUUAAGUUCCCCGCCUGGGGAGUACGGCCGCAAGGCUAAAACUCAAAGGAAUUGACGGGGACCCGCACAAGCGGCGGAGCAUGCGGAUUAAUUCGAUGCAACGCGAAGAACCUUACCAAGGCUUGACAUAUACGAGAACGGGCCAGAAAUGGUCAACUCUUUGGACACUCGUAAACAGGUGGUGCAUGGUUGUCGUCAGCUCGUGUCGUGAGAUGUUGGGUUAAGUCCCGCAACGAGCGCAACCCUCGUUCUAUGUUGCCAGCACGUAAUGGUGGGAACUCAUGGGAUACUGCCGGGGUCAACUCGGAGGAAGGUGGGGAUGACGUCAAAUCAUCAUGCCCCUUAUGUCUUGGGCUUCACGCAUGCUACAAUGGCCGGUACAAAGGGCUGCAAUACCGUAAGGUGGAGCGAAUCCCAAAAAGCCGGUCCCAGUUCGGAUUGAGGUCUGCAACUCGACCUCAUGAAGUCGGAGUCGCUAGUAAUCGCAGAUCAGCAACGCUGCGGUGAAUACGUUCCCGGGUCUUGUACACACCGCCCGUCAAGUCAUGAAAGUCGGUAACACCUGAAGCCGGUGGCCCAACCCUUGUGGAGGGA
RNAcentral lists this ribosomal RNA (600 nucleotides) under Microbacterium pygmaeum. RNAcentral describes it as "bacterial SSU rRNA". It matches the Rfam family "Bacterial small subunit ribosomal RNA", at positions 853 to 1451 of the family's 1533-position model. The record is from RNAcentral. Lineage: Bacteria; Bacillati; Actinomycetota; Actinomycetes; Micrococcales; Microbacteriaceae.